AAUUCGAAGCAACGCGAAGAACCUUACCAGGUCUUGACAUCCCCUGACAACCCAAGAGAUUGGGCGUUCCCCUUCGGGGGACAGGGUGACAGGUGGUGCAUGGUUGUCGUCAGCUCGUGUCGUGAGAUGUUGGGUUAAGUCCCGCAACGAGCGCAACCCUCGCCUCUAGUUGCCAGCAUUCGGUUGGGCACUCUAGAGGGACUGCCGGCGACAAGUCGGAGGAAGGUGGGAUGACGUCAAAUCAUCAUGCCCCUUAUGACCUGGGCUACACACGUGCUACAAUGGGCGGUACAAAGGGCUGCGAACCCGCGAGGGGGAGCGAAUCCCAAAAAGCCGCUCUCAGUUCGGAUUGCAGGCUGCAACUCGCCUGCAUGAAGCCGGAAUCGCUAGUAAUCGCGGAUCAGCAUGCCGCGGUGAAUACGUUCCCGGGCCUU
Molecule: ribosomal RNA, 434 nt
Filed under: uncultured Geobacillus sp.
Lineage: Bacteria; Bacillati; Bacillota; Bacilli; Caryophanales; Anoxybacillaceae
Description: bacterial SSU rRNA
Rfam family: Bacterial small subunit ribosomal RNA
Source: RNAcentral